This 72-nucleotide transfer RNA is filed under the name Camelus bactrianus (Bactrian camel). It matches the Rfam family "tRNA". Rfam says of the family: Transfer RNA (tRNA) molecules are approximately 80 nucleotides in length. Their secondary structure includes four short double-helical elements and three loops (D, anti-codon, and T loops). Further hydrogen bonds mediate the characteristic L-shaped molecular structure. tRNAs have two regions of fundamental functional importance: the anti-codon, which is responsible for specific mRNA codon recognition, and the 3' end, to which the tRNAs corresponding amino acid is attached (by aminoacyl-tRNA synthetases). tRNAs cope with the degeneracy of the genetic code in two manners: having more than one tRNA (with a specific anti-codon) for a particular amino acid; and 'wobble' base-pairing, i.e. permitting non-standard base-pairing at the 3rd anti-codon position. Lineage: Eukaryota; Metazoa; Chordata; Mammalia; Artiodactyla; Camelidae. The record is from Rfam by way of RNAcentral. RNAcentral also lists the same sequence under 2 other names.
GAAGGUAGAGCUCAGCGGUACAGAGCCUGCUUAGCAUGCACAAGGUCCUGGGUUCAAUUCCCAGUACCUCCA